RNAcentral lists this ribosomal RNA (502 nucleotides) under uncultured bacterium. Its description in RNAcentral is "partial 16S ribosomal RNA". It matches the Rfam family "Bacterial small subunit ribosomal RNA", at positions 28 to 507 of the family's 1533-position model. The record is from RNAcentral.
GACGAACGCCGGCGGCGUGCUUAACACAUGCAAGUCGAACGGUGAAGGGGCCUGCUUUUGUGGGCCCUGGAUGAGUGGCGAACGGGUGAGUAACACGUGAGUAACCUGCCCCCUUCUUCUGGAUAACCGCAUGAAAGUGUGGCUAAUACGGGAUAUUCUGGGUCUGUCGCAUGAUGGGUCUGGGAAAGAUUGCGCCUUUGGGUGUUUUUGGUGGGGGAUGGGCUCGCGGCCUAUCAGCUUGUUGGUGGGGUGAUGGCCUACCAAGGCGGUGACGGGUAGCCGGCCUGAGAGGGUGGACGGUCACACUGGGACUGAGACACGGCCCAGACUCCUACGGGAGGCAGCAGUGGGGAAUAUUGCACAAUGGGCGCAAGCCUGAUGCAGCGACGCCGCGUGAGGGAUGGAGGCCUUCGGGUUGUAAACCUCUUUCGCCAGUGAAGCAGGCCUGCUCCUUGUGGGUGGGUUGACGGUAGCUGGAUAAGAAGCGCCGGCUAACUACGUG